This 83-nucleotide microRNA precursor is filed under the name Pelodiscus sinensis (Chinese soft-shelled turtle). RNAcentral's name for it is "miRNA (ENSPSIG00000020131.1)". The record is from RNAcentral. Lineage: Eukaryota; Metazoa; Chordata; Testudines; Trionychidae.
UUGUGUGUGUGUGUGUGUGUGUGUGUGUGUGUGUGUGUGUGUGUAUAUACAUAUAUACACACACACACACAAUAUGAUAGGGA